This 465-nucleotide ribosomal RNA is filed under the name uncultured bacterium. RNAcentral describes it as "partial 16S ribosomal RNA". It matches the Rfam family "Bacterial small subunit ribosomal RNA", at positions 28 to 507 of the family's 1533-position model. The record is from RNAcentral.
GACGAACGCUGGCGGCGUGCUUAACACAUGCAAGUCGUACGGUAAGGCCCUUUCGGGGGUACACGAGUGGCGAACGGGUGAGUAACACGUGAGUAACCUGCCCACAACUUCGGGAUAACGCUAGGAAACUGGUGCUAAUACUGGAUAUGUGCUCCUGCUGCAUGGUGGGGGUUGGAAAGCUCCGGCGGUUGUGGAUGGACUCGCGGCCUAUCAGCUUGUUGGUGGGGUAGUGGCCUACCAAGGCGGCGACGGGUAGCCGGCCUGAGAGGGUGACCGGCCACAUUGGGACUGAGAUACGGCCCAGACUCCUACGGGAGGCAGCAGUGGGGAAUAUUGCACAAUGGGCGCAAGCCGGAUGCAGCAACGCCGCGUGCGGGAUAACGGCCUUCGGGUUGUAAACCGCUUUCAGCAGGGACGAAGCUUUUUGUGACGGUACCUGCAGAAGAAGCACCGGCUAACUACGUG